Molecule: ribosomal RNA, 724 nt
Filed under: uncultured bacterium
Lineage: Bacteria
Description: bacterial SSU rRNA
Rfam family: Bacterial small subunit ribosomal RNA
Source: RNAcentral
GAUACCCUGGUAGUCCAUGCCGUAAACGAUGAGUGCUAGGUGUUGGAGGGUUUCCGCCCUUCAGUGCCGGAGCUAACGCAUUAAGCACUCCGCCUGGGGAGUACGACCGCAAGGUUGAAACUCAAAGGAAUUGACGGGGGCCCGCACAAGCGGUGGAGCAUGUGGUUUAAUUCGACGCAACGCGAAGAACCUUACCAAGACUUGACAUCCUCCUGACGAGAUAUGUAAUGUAUCUUUUUUCUUCGGAGACAGGAGAGACAGGUGGUGCAUGGUUGUCGUCAGCUCGUGUCGUGAGAUGUUGGGUUAAGUCCCGCAACGAGCGCAACCCUUAUUUCUAGUUGCCAGCAGUAAGAUGGGGACUCUAGAGAGACUGCCAGUGACAAACUGGAGGAAGGUGGGGAUGACGUCAAAUCAUCAUGCCCCUUAUGUCUUGGGCUACACACGUGCUACAAUGGUCAGAACAGAGGGCAGCGAAGCCGCGAGGUGGAGCAAAUCCCAGAAAACUGAUCUCAGUUCGGAUUGCAGGCUGCAACCCGCCUGCAUGAAGUCGGAAUCGCUAGUAAUCGCGGGUCAGCAUACCGCGGUGAAUACGUUCCCGGGCCUUGUACACACCGCCCGUCACACCACGAAAGUUGGUAACACCCGAAGCCGGUGGCCUAACCCUUAGGGGAGGGAGCUGUCGAAGGUGGGACUGAUGAUUGGGGUGAAGUCGUAACAAGGUACC